AAGCGGUGGAGCAUGUGGUUUAAUUCGACGCAACGCGAAGAACCUUACCUAGGUUUGACAUCCCGGGGAGUCUUUUGAAAGAGAGAUGUGCCUUUCGGGGAGCCCGGAGACAGGUGCUGCAUGGCUGUCGUCAGCUCGUGUCGUGAGAUGUUGGGUUAAGUCCCGCAACGAGCGCAACCCUUAUCUUUAGUUACCAGCACUUCGGGUGGGGACUCUAGAGAUACUGCCCCGGUCAACGGGGAGGAAGGUGGGGAUGACGUCAAAUCAUCAUGCCCCUUAUGACCUGGGCUACAAACGUGAUACAAUGGCUGAAACAAAGGGCAGCGAAGCAGUGAUGUGAAGCGAAACCCAAAAAGCAGUCUCAGUUCGGAUUGAAGUCUGCAACUCGACUUCAUGAAGUCGGAAUCGCUAGUAAUCGUGGAUCAGAAUGUCACGGUGAAUACGUUCCCGGGUCUU
This 456-nucleotide ribosomal RNA is filed under the name uncultured Desulfobacteraceae bacterium. RNAcentral describes it as "bacterial SSU rRNA". It matches the Rfam family "Bacterial small subunit ribosomal RNA", at positions 927 to 1382 of the family's 1533-position model. The record is from RNAcentral. Lineage: Bacteria; Pseudomonadati; Thermodesulfobacteriota; Desulfobacteria; Desulfobacterales; Desulfobacteraceae.